Molecule: long non-coding RNA, 282 nt
Filed under: Mytilus galloprovincialis (Mediterranean mussel)
Lineage: Eukaryota; Metazoa; Mollusca; Bivalvia; Mytilida; Mytilidae
Source: RNAcentral
GUUGAAAUAUCUUACCAUCUGUACUGUCCAUGACUGAUUUAAUGUAGAAAGUCUUAUAAAUAAUGGCCGUAAUGCAAGUAUCACAUAAGCUUAAUUUCAUCAAUGAUCAAUGAUAAUAAGUUCAAGGUCAAAAGAACCCUGGCUAACAUACAUGUACACCUUAAAAUCACUCAAUACACCAAAUAUGGUUGACCUUUUGUCGCUUUUUGUUAUAAAAAAUCCAAACCAAACUAAGAAAACUUAAUGUUGACAAAUGAACCAUGAAAAUGAGGUCAAGAUCAG